This 448-nucleotide ribosomal RNA is filed under the name uncultured bacterium. Its description in RNAcentral is "partial 16S ribosomal RNA". It matches the Rfam family "Bacterial small subunit ribosomal RNA", at positions 29 to 523 of the family's 1533-position model. The record is from RNAcentral.
AAUGAACGCUGGCGACAGGCCUAACACAUGCAAGUCGAACGGAUCCUUCGGGAUUAGUGGCGGACGGGUGAGUAACGCGUGGGAACAUACCCAAAGGUACGGAAUAGCCUCGGGAAACUGGGAGUAAUACCGUAUGUGCUCGAAAGAGGAAAGAUUUAUCGCCUUGGAUUGGCCCGCGUUGGAUUAGGUAGUUGGUGGGGUAAUGGCCUACCAAGCCGACGAUCCAUAGCUGGUUUGAGAGGAUGAUCAGCCACACGGGGACUGAGACACGGCCCAGACUCCUACGGGAGGCAGCAGUGGGGAAUUUUAGACAAUGGGGGAAACCCUGAUCUAGCCAUGCCGCGUGAUCGAUGAAGGCCUUAGGGUUGUAAAGAUCUUUCAGGUGGGAAGAUAAUGACUGUACCACCAGAAGAAGCCCCGGCUAACUCCGUGCCAGCAGCCGCCGUAA